GAAAGAGGCCAAGUGCUACAGACUGCAGAAGUAGUCAUGAAUAUGCUUGAUGUGACAAUGCCUGACACCCUAACAGAAGAACAGAAGAAGAAGGUCCUGACGGCUGUUGGUCAAGGGGAGACAAUAAUGAAAGCAUUGCAAGAUGCUGUUCCUGAUGAUGUUCGUGGAAAGCUUACAACUGCUGUCUCUGGAAUUUUGCACAAUCAAGGUUCAAAUCUCAAAUUUGAUGGACU
Molecule: unclassified non-coding RNA, 233 nt
Filed under: Hevea brasiliensis (rubber tree)
Lineage: Eukaryota; Viridiplantae; Streptophyta; Magnoliopsida; Malpighiales; Euphorbiaceae
Source: RNAcentral